RNAcentral lists this ribosomal RNA (440 nucleotides) under uncultured bacterium. Its description in RNAcentral is "partial 16S ribosomal RNA". It matches the Rfam family "Bacterial small subunit ribosomal RNA", at positions 338 to 795 of the family's 1533-position model. The record is from RNAcentral.
CCUACGGGCGGCAGCAGUGGGGAAUAUUGCACAAUGGGGGAAACCCUGAUGCAGCGACGCCGCGUGAGUGAAGAAGUAUUUCGGUACGUAAAGCUCUAUCAGCAGGGAAGAAAAUGACGGUACCUGACUAAGAAGCCCCGGCUAACUACGUGCCAGCAGCCGCGGUAAUACGUAGGGGGCAAGCGUUAUCCGGAUUUACUGGGUGUAAAGGGAGCGUAGACGGCAGCGCAAGGCUGGAGUGAAAUCCCAUGGCUUAACCAUGGAACUGCUUUGGAAACUGUGCAGCUAGAGUGCAGGAGAGGUAAGCGGAAUUCCUAGUGUAGCGGUGAAAUGCGUAGAUAUUAGGAGGAACACCAGUGGCGAAGGCGGCUUACUGGACUGUAACUGACGUUGAGGCUCGAAAGCGUGGGGAGCAAACAGGAUUAGAUACCCGAGUAGUC